This 484-nucleotide ribosomal RNA is filed under the name uncultured bacterium. RNAcentral's name for it is "partial 16S ribosomal RNA". It matches the Rfam family "Bacterial small subunit ribosomal RNA", at positions 30 to 507 of the family's 1533-position model. The record is from RNAcentral.
AUUGAACGCUGGCGGCAGGCCUAACACAUGCAAGUCGAGCGGAUGAAGGGAGCUUGCUCCUGGAUUCAGCGGCGGACGGGUGAGUAAUGCCUAGGAAUCUGCCUGGUAGUGGGGGAUAACGUCCGGAAACGGGCGCUAAUACCGCAUACGUCCUGAGGGAGACAGUGGGGGAUCUUCGGACCUCACGCUAUCAGAUGAGCCUAGGUCGGAUUAGCUAGUUGGUGGGGUAAAGGCCUACCAAGGCGACGAUCCGUAACUGGUCUGAGAGGAUGAUCAGUCACACUGGAACUGAGACACGGUCCAGACUCCUACGGGAGGCCGCAGUGGGGAAUAUUGGACAAUGGGCGAAAGCCUGAUCCAGCCAUGCCGCGUGUGUGAAGAAGGUCUUCUGAUUGGAAAGCACUUUAAGUUGGGAGGAAGGGCAGUAAGUUAAUACCUUGCUGUUUUGACGUUACCAACAGAAUAAGCACCGGCUAACUUCGUG